RNAcentral lists this long non-coding RNA (2230 nucleotides) under Macaca mulatta (Rhesus monkey). Its description in RNAcentral is "lncRNA (ENSMMUG00000052402.1)". The record is from RNAcentral. Lineage: Eukaryota; Metazoa; Chordata; Mammalia; Primates; Cercopithecidae.
ACCGGCUCCAGCCGCCGCCGCCGCCUCAGAAGCUCCGAGUGCCAGUUCCCUCAGCCUGAGGAGGGAUGGGGGGCGAUGGCUCCGGGUUCUAGCCCGCCUGUCCUCGGCCCCCACUUCUGGAAUGAGCCGGCCCGCCCCCUAACUCUCAGGCCACAGCUCCGGCCGCAGCUCUGGCUCCGGCUCCGCGGCGGAUCCCACAAGCCCGGCAGCCGCGGCGGUGGCGGUGGCAGUGGCGGCGGCAGGCGGCAUCCCAGGGUGAUAGGCUGAAGCAAUCGAGCGCCGAGAGCCCGGCCGCGUGUGCACUCGAGUAACGAAGCGGGGGAGGGACUGCGCCAAAGGCAGGAAAAGUCGGACACCGAAUUAUUCAUCCGGCCUGUCCCGCCUACUUUCCAAAUACCCUCCCGGGGAGAGCAGGAGAUGGAAGAAGCUGCUUUAUCUUACAGUCACCCAAGGGGGACCGCCGCCUUCCUUCCCAGAGUGGAGUGGCAGUGGGUCCGGGAUUCUGGGAUAUGCACAGGGUCUGCACCCUGCGCCCUGUCCGCGCUGAAGCUGGACUUGUCAUUGGUUUACAACAGCAUGGUGAAGAAGUGUGGUGUGGAUGGAUGGACGGGCCUCGCAGGCACAUGAAAUGCUCAAAAGCCCAGUAUUAACCAAACAUGUUUCUCCGUUUUGUCUUUGAUCUUUGUGCAGUGUGUUGGCUUUUUUCCUUUAAUGAUGUCACUUGUAUUUUAUUUUUGGUUUAUUUGUAGACUGUCCCUGUCCUUGGCCGUGGCUUUACUUUUAUGUCCAAGGCGAGAUUCACCAGUUUAGGUUUAAGAAAUUUCUGACAAGUUAACAAUAAUUUCAAACUUGAACAAUAAUAACUUAAACCGUGCCUUGCACAUAGUAGAUCUCCAACAGUGUUUCUUGUAUGUGGCUACCUAAUGUGGAACGAGAUUUUUCGUAACGCUAUUUUUAAUACUUUUUGGGAGGUUCUUUAGUCCCCCCCCCCUCCCUACUUUGCACAAAGAGACUAAUCUACAAGGGGUCCUGUUAAUUUUCUGGUUUUGUGAUGUCCUGGCAUAUUGUUUGGGCUUACUGAGAGUUAACAAGGAUGUAUUUUGUGAGUUUCUUCGAACUCUUAUUUAGAGUAAUAGUAUUUCAAAGCAAGAAAUGUUUUAGAGAUAACCUCAUUCUGCCUCUUGUUUAACAGGUGAGGAAACUGAGGAAAAACCAGCUUACCUGGCAAAUCAACCACAAGUACAGAUAGUUCCACAAUGACUUGAUGGAUAUUACUUCAACUUUGUUCCCUCAAGAACCUUUUGUGAUUAAGCUUGUUGAUCUGUGGCUUGAUGGUUUACUGGAAUGGUCCUUUUUAAUAUCUAGGACCCUGCUUCCUUGCUUACUUGACUGGCUGCAUAGUCAGUCUUCCAUGUGUAAACAAUAGUGUGUGCUUUAGUGGAUAAGAGAUGUUGAAGUCAGGAGAUUGCCGAGCUCAGCACUGAGCAGACCUAGAGCAUUUGUAUUUAUACUAAAUUAAUGCCAUGGUAACAUAAGUUAGAGAGCAAGUGAAAAUGGCAUCAAAUGUACAAAGUUGAGUAUCUCUUUACUAGUCAAUGUAUAAGGAAUUUAUUUACCCAAGCAAUUAUCUUAAAAACAGCAUUACAAGUGGUAUGCGAAACGUUUCCAGGAUUUAUUUCCACAUUUGCUCUUUCCGUGGCAUCAUCCAUUCCUGAGCUCAAGAAAAGGCGUCUGCCAACCCGCAGUAAUCCUGCUUUUUUAACUGUAAGUUCUGGGAUGCAUGUGCAGAACAUGCAGGUUUGUUACACAGGUAGACAUGUGCCAUGGUGGUUUGCUGCACCCAUCAACCCAUCAUCUAGGUUUUAAGCCCUGCAUUCGUUAGGUAUUUGUCCUGAUGCUCUUCCUCCACUUUCCCCCAUCCCCCGACAGGACCCAGUAUGUGAUAUUACCCUUCCUGUGUCCAUGUGUUCUCAUUGUUCAACUCCCACUUAUGAGUGAGAACAGGCAGAGUUUGGUUUUCUGUCGUGUUACUUUGCUGAGAAUGAUGGCUUCCAGCUUCAUCCACGUCCCCGCAAAGGACAUGAACUCAUUCCUUUUUAUGGCUGCAUAGUAUUCCAUGGUGUAUAUGUGCCACAUUUUCUUUAUCCAGUCUAUCAUCAGUGGGCAUUUGGGUUGGUUCCAAGUCUUUGCUAUUGUAAAUAGCGCUGCAAUAAACAGAUGUUUGCAUGUG